CAGCCGCCGCGGUAAUACAGAGGGUGCAAGCGUUAAUCGGAAUUACUGGGCGUAAAGCGCGCGUAGGUGGUUCGUUAAGUUGGAUGUGAAAUCCCCGGGCUCAACCUGGGAACUGCAUCCAAAACUGGCGAGCUAGAGUAUGGUAGAGGGUGGUGGAAUUUCCUGUGUAGCGGUGAAAUGCGUAGAUAUAGGAAGGAACACCAGUGGCGAAGGCGACCACCUGGACUGAUACUGACACUGAGGUGCGAAAGCGUGGGGAGCAAACAGGAUUAGAUACCCGAGUAGUCCCUGUCUCUUAUAA
This 301-nucleotide ribosomal RNA is filed under the name uncultured bacterium. RNAcentral's name for it is "partial 16S ribosomal RNA". It matches the Rfam family "Bacterial small subunit ribosomal RNA", at positions 509 to 809 of the family's 1533-position model. The record is from RNAcentral.